GGCGACGAUCAGUAGCUGGUCUGAGAGGAUGAUCAGCCACAUUGGGACUGAGACACGGCCCAAACUCCUACGGGAGGCAGCAGUGGGGAAUAUUGGACAAUGGGCGCAAGCCUGAUCCAGCCAUGCCGCGUGAGUGAUGAAGGCCUUAGGGUUGUAAAGCUCUUUUGUCCGGGAAGAUAAUGACUGUACCGGAAGAAUAAGCCCCGGCUAACUUCGUGCCAGCAGCCGCGGUAAUACGAAGGGGGCUAGCGUUGCUCGGAAUCACUGGGCGUAAAGGGCGCGUAGGCGGACUCUUAAGUCGGGGGUGAAAGCCCAGGGCUCAACCCUGGAAUUGCCUUCGAUACUGGGAGUCUUGAGUUCGGAAGAGGUUGGUGGAACUGCGAGUGUAGAGGUGAAAUUCGUAGAUAUUCGCAAGAACACCAGUGGCGAAGGCGGCCAACUGGUCCGAUACUGACGCUGAGGCGCGAAAGCGUGGGGAGCAAACAGGAUUAGAUAC
This 496-nucleotide ribosomal RNA is filed under the name uncultured Allobosea sp. RNAcentral's name for it is "bacterial SSU rRNA". It matches the Rfam family "Bacterial small subunit ribosomal RNA", at positions 272 to 785 of the family's 1533-position model. The record is from RNAcentral. Lineage: Bacteria; Pseudomonadati; Pseudomonadota; Alphaproteobacteria; Hyphomicrobiales; Alloboseaceae.